Molecule: long non-coding RNA, 246 nt
Filed under: Elaeis guineensis (African oil palm)
Lineage: Eukaryota; Viridiplantae; Streptophyta; Magnoliopsida; Arecales; Arecaceae
Description: long non-coding RNA (EGUI_LNC081793)
Source: RNAcentral
AAAUUCGAUCGAUUAGAUGAAGAUAAUUUAAUCAAAAAAUGCUGAAAUUAUCAUAUGAAUAAUUCAAUAAAAUCAUGAAAAAUAAAAUUUAAAGCAUCUGAUCUGAUCAAAGUAGGUGUCGGUAUACUGUCUGACGAUCACAGAUCAAAAUGCAUCAUUAGGAUCAUUUAAAUUCAUCAUCAUUUUUUUCAAAAUUUUAAAAAAUCUGAGGAGAGAGAAAUAAACUAGAGAGAGAAAAUUCUAGAG